AUCGCUUCUUGGCCUUUUGGCUAAGAUCAAGUGUAGGAAAAAACUAGCUAGGCAAAAACUACCUUUUUUUUUAAAAAAAAGAUUCUUUAUCAUACCUGGUCAGUAGCUGAACAUGAUCAGCAAGGUGAAAUUGCU
This is a small nuclear RNA of Callithrix jacchus (white-tufted-ear marmoset), 135 nucleotides long. Its record names the gene U2. It matches the Rfam family "U2 spliceosomal RNA". Rfam says of the family: U2 is a small nuclear RNA (snRNA) component of the spliceosome (involved in pre-mRNA splicing). Complementary binding between U2 snRNA (in an area lying towards the 5' end but 3' to hairpin I) and the branchpoint sequence (BPS) of the intron results the bulging out of an unpaired adenosine, on the BPS, which initiates a nucleophilic attack at the intronic 5' splice site, thus starting the first of two transesterification reactions that mediate splicing. NCBI's taxonomy places the organism in Eukaryota, Metazoa, Chordata, Mammalia, Primates, Cebidae. The record is from Ensembl.